RNAcentral lists this transfer-messenger RNA (352 nucleotides) under Acidobacteriota bacterium. It matches the Rfam family "transfer-messenger RNA". Rfam says of the family: Bacterial tmRNA, also known as 10Sa RNA or SsrA, is named for its dual tRNA and mRNA-like properties. Its role is to liberate the mRNA from a stalled ribosome. To accomplish this part of the tmRNA is used as a reading frame that ends in a translation stop signal. The record is from RNAcentral. Lineage: Bacteria; Pseudomonadati; Acidobacteriota.
GGGGGCGUUCCGGCUUCGACGGGGAACACAAGCGGUUCUUGGGUAGCGUGUCGCACGUUCCGCACGUACGCGGAAAACACACCUGCCAACGACAACUUGGCUCUGGCGGCUUAACCCCCGCCAGCGCGGCGACGGAAGCCUUGAUUCACGGCGUCUGCCGUUCGCGUCGCUAAAGUGAAUCAAACGGCGCAGUACGCCUCGGGCUGCGCCCGGAUCCACACGAGGCUGGCCGCACGCGCGGAUCGUCCCGGUUCCAAACGCGCGCGGCGAGACCCCCAAACCAGGACUACGCACGUAGAAGCCCUCGAGACGCGUUCUCCGGACGCGGGUUCGAUUCCCGCCGCCUCCACCA